CACACCCAGCCAGGCUCCCCCGCAGGUGAGUGAGCUACAGGCUGGACUCAGGGCUCAGGACUCAGGCUGCUGCGGGGAGGUGGGGUCCUGGGUGACUGGGUCUGCCCCUCCUCGGUGACCCCUCCGUGCACGCCCCCAGCCCCAGCACCCAGGACCUCACCCUGGAGAACCUCAUCAGCAUGGGCGUGGCGGGCUUGGUCCUGCUGGGCCUCGGGCUUCUGCUGGCGGAGGCUUGGUACAGCCACAGAAGGACCCGAGCUGCAGGCCAGCGAUGACCUGGAGAGAGGACAGCGCUGGGUCAGAGAGGCUGUGCCCCGGGGGCGGGGGAGGUGGGAGGCCAGAGGCCGGGCAUGGCUGGUGAGAAGCUGCUGGGAAGUGGGCGGAGCUCACCUUGUGUUGUGGGAAUCCUGCUCAGGGGCAGGGACCCGGGUGGGCCGCUGGCGGUGCUGCUUCCCCGGGCUCCCACGCGCAUUCUGGGAAGGGGCUCUGGCCUCCCGCAGCCCUGCCCACCGCCCUGCAGGCUCCCGUGCAGUUCUGUGCUGUUCCUCUCCAGGGACCGCACACAGCUCAGUGGCCCUGAGUGUCCACAGGAGCGGGGUCGAACGGCCCAUCGAUAGGGCGACACCGGGAUUCACUCCCCUUGACCUUCAGCAAGUGGGCAGGACGUGGGCCGGACACCUGUCACUCAAGAUGGAUUCACCAUUCCACUCACCAAAAGGAGGCGAUGACACGUGGGGUCAGAUAUGGGAGAUCACAAUUAAUGGAUCUGGGCUGGCUCUGUGGUGUAGUGGGUAAAAGCUGCCACCUGCGGUGCCGGCAUCCCCUGUGGGCACCGGUUCGACACUCAGCUGCUCCACUUCUGAUCCAGCUCUCUGCUAUGGCCUGGGAAAGCAGCAGAAGAUGGCCCAAGUCCUUGAGCCCCUGCAUCCAUGUGGGACACUCAGAUGAAACUCGGGGCUCUGGCUGGGGAUCAGCCGAGCUCCGGCUGUGAGGGCCCAUUGGGACUGAACCAGCAGAUGGAUACCUCUCUCCCUCCUUCUCUCUGUAUCUGUGACUUUCAAAUAAAUAUUUUAAAAAGCUUGUGGCUCAUCAAACUCUAAGGUAAAAUCCCAGAUGACCAUGGGACUCCGCCCUCUGAGAGGACCACACACAAGUGAAAGACUGAAAGUGUGUGCAGGGUUUCUUCCGGCACGGAACGUUCAAGGUCACCUGGAUUUCUCAGUGCACAUCUAACAUAAACCCCACAACACGGUUGGCUCUGGUGGACGGCAGCACCCGGUGUUCUGGAAGAGAGCGGAUGCCUGCCCGGCUUCCUCUGAUGGCUGAUUACUCUGCUUGUCUGUGCGGUGCAAGUCUGCGUUUCCCACAGAGUUCAGUGAGGCGGGUGGAGGGUGCGCCUGGAUACUUCUCCCGUGUUUCCAGUUAUGGGCUGGGGACUCCACCCCACCACAGCAUAGCUUAGGGGGUAAAGCCAACACCAGCAGUGCCGGCAUCACAUAUGGUAUGGCCAAGUUGGAGUCCCGGCUGCUCCGCUUCUGAUCCAGCUCCCUGCUAAUGCGCCUGGGAAAGCAGUAGAGAACGACCCAAGUGCUUGGGUCCCUGCACCCACGUGGGAGACCCAGAAGCUCCUGCCUGGCUCCUGGCUUCAGCCUCGCCCAGCUAUAUGGGGAGCGAGCCAUUGGAUGGGAAACCUCUGCCUCUGAUUCUCCUCUCUCCAUCUCUCCCUCUGAAAUAAAUAAAUCAGUCUUUAAAAAAAUUUUUAAGCACUCUAGAAGGAAAUACCUGGGUAAAUAUGACCUCAGACUUCAUCACAGCGUCUAAGCUGUGAUUCUGAAAGUACAAGGAACAAAUGGGAAAAUGGCUGAAUUGAUCAUCCCCAAAACUUCAGAAGUCUGUGCACCAUGGACAGCUAUCAAGGGAACAGAAAGACAACUAACACAUUGUGUAAAGAUCUGGAAGCCACAACAGGAAAAGCAAGGGUGCAACUCACAAGAGAAGGGAAGUGAAAAUAAUGCCACAGAGAGGCACCCCCCACGCCCACCACACUGAUCACUUCUCGAAGACAAAGCAGGCAGAGUGUGGUCAGGGUGUGGGGCAAUCUCAGCCCUGAGACGCGGCUGGAAUGUGCAGGGUUCAGCCACUGCGGCAAGAGGCUCCUAGUUCCUCAAAGCACCUGACCCAGUGUCAGCACAGCACAGAGCAACCCACCCCCUGCAUGGAGUCAGGCGCUCCCAUCAACCCACAUCCUGGCAAGGGUCAGGGUCAGGUGCAGCGCUCACCAGUGUGCUGAGUGCAGGCUCUGUGGAGCGUUCUCACCACCGAGGGCCAGGGGGAGGCCCUGACAACCAUCCAGGGACUGUGCACACAGGCAUCCGUCCAAGCACAGCCGGCCAGGGACAGGAGCCGGAUGUGCACCGGGGAUGCAGGGCUCGGGGUGGUGGGUCCCUGGCUCCGUGGGAACUCUGCUGAGCCCCAGGAAGCCAUGAAGUGAGGAUGUGUGCGGCAGAGGGUGCAGCCACACACAAAAGGCCCCGCGUAGCACCAUUCCCAGAAACACCCAGGGCUGGGAGCCCACAGAGCCAUGGGGCUGGGCGGGGCUGGCGGGGCUGAUGGCUGCAUGAUGUGGGGCUUCCUCCUGGGGUGAGGCCAGAGCAGGUCAUUGAAUGUCUGGGGCUUUACCGUGAACGCCACUGCAUGCACGCUUUGCCAGCUCCUGUUUCUGGGAGGGGGACUUCCUCUCAACCUGAUGCAGGCUAAGGAAAGGACAGAUGCCUGUGGGUGCCUUGUAACCCGAGGCUGUGACGAGCCGCCAUAGUUCUCUCCUGGGUCCCCAUCCCAGAGCAGGCAGCUGAGAGCCUGCCCUCUGCCCUCCACUCCAAACACGGCUGAGGAUGGGGUCUUCCAUUCUGUCUGGGACCCGGGACCGCUUCUGAUUCACCUCUGGGGAUGGCGGGCGCUCCUAGGGACUUCUAAGGAGCGGUGCCUACCAGAACGGUGCUGUCCCCACGUCUGAAUCUGGAAGGGACACUGCAGGACCCUGAGACUGGAGUGCUGCAGCCACGGCCACCCAGAGAGGGGAGGUCUCGGGCUUCCUCCCACCACAGAGACGCUGGGGGACAACGUCACCUGUUCAGGUCGCUCAGGAAGCGGCACCCCCAUGUCAUCCAGGAGCACGGGGCCCAGGUGCUCAGAUCAGGGGAGGAGAGGCCGUGGGGGGCUCAGGAAGCAGGUGCCGGAAUCCCCAGCCCCACGUGAGUGUGUAUCUGCACACGGGCCCAGUGCCCUGCUCCCAGUCCCCUCUACCUAAUGAGAAACCCGGUACAGUGCAGGCAGCACAGGGUGUGCGGCGCUGGACCCCGGCUGGGCUGGUCAGGGCACCACCAUAUUCUCAGUUCCUAGGGUAGCUCGGGGCCUCUGCCCCCAGACACCCUCCCCUCCUCACAGCUGCUCGCCAGGCCCUGGGCCCACCAGCUCCCAGCAGGACCCCACCCUAAGAUCGUGUCCCCUGUUGUGGGCCCUGCUGCACCUGCCACAGCCACAGCUGGGCUGCAGCUCAGCCACACCUCUGCAGCGUCUGUGCCUUCUUCAUCCCCCCUGUCAGCGCCAAAGGCCUGGAAGAUUCCGUCACCCUCCCCACAGGAUCCAGCCCUCCCCACUCCCCUCCCCUCCCCCGCCCCCACAACUGCACUCAACAGCUCAGGAAAGGGAAGUGCGUGUCUCGGCCACCCGGCCUGUGCAGGGAGAACCAGAACCCUAACUGGACAGAGAGUGGACUCCUCUAGGGGUGGGGCUAGAGUAGGGGAGGGAGGCUGGGCAGUCACAGUACAGGGGGCAGCAGAGGCGGAGGCCUGGUCCUAGCUGUCCCUAGUGUCCGCUGUUUCCUGGGCCCCUUCCUCAGGGACAGCGGGGGAGGUCAGGGAGGGGCUGCCCCCGUUCCUGUGAGGCCACAGAUGAGGAACCCGUGACGUCUCCCCGCUCAUCUCCAGCCGGAUUCUGGGCCUGCGCCCCUCACAGCUACUCUGCUCCACGGGACCAUGGGCGGCGGGGCCCAGACCCCAGCCCUCACUGCCCUCCUCUGCCUGGGGCUGUGCCGGGUGCCAGGGGAUGGGGCACAGGCGGGGACCCUCCCCAAGCCCUCCAUCUGGGCCGACCCAGGCCCCCUGGUCGCCGUAGGAAGCCCUGUGACCCUCUGGUGCCAGGGCUCUCUGCAGGCUGAGGUCUAUCAUAUGUAUACAGAGAGCGGCCGUCAUCCCUGGGAAGCGAGGCCCCAGCAGGACUCCAGACACAAGGCCAGCUUCUCCGUGAUCACGUCCAUGAGCUCCCAUGACACAGGGCAGUACUGUUGUGUGUAUUGGACCUUGCUCGGCCACUCCCAGCCCAGUGAACCCCUGACCCUGGUGGUGACGGGGAUGUUCCCAGCGCCCUCCCUGUCGGCCCAGCCAAGCCCCGUGGUGGCGUCAGGAGAGAACGUGUCCCUCUCCUGUGGCUCAGAUGAGGCGGGCACUGCCCAUCUGCUGAAGGAGGGUGGAGCCGGCCCCCUGCACAGCCUGGAAGCCAGAUACUCCCAUGGGGCUGGGCUGUGGCAGGCCACCUUCCUCCUGGGCCCCGUGGACAGCACCCAAAGGGGCAUCUACAGGUGCUACCGUGCUGACACCAACAAGACCCAUGUGUGGUCACUGCCCAGUGACCCCCUGCAGCUGGAGGUGUCAGCACAAUAAAGAAGGAAACAUGGUUCCUUGGAAUUACCAUCCAAUCCAACAGUUCCUCUCCUGCACAUAUAACCACAGGGAUUGAAGCAGGAACCCAAGAAGGUGUUGCAUCCACGGGUUCAUAGCAGCCUCAUUCACAUGAGCCCAAAGAUGCCAGCAACCAGAAUAUGCAGACCAGUUUUGCCAAAUGUGGACCUUGCACACGUACGCUGCUGGUGGGGACGCGGAUUGGAAAACGGCAUGGGGAGUCCUCAGGAAACGGGUCGACCACACGACGCAGCCAUCGCACUCCCGGGAACAUGGGCAAUCGCUUUCUAUUGACCGCGUGUUCAACCGACAUUCUGGAUACACUGGGCGAAGCGCACCACAAACAUCCAUUCUGCCUGGUUCUUUGCACAAUGUGGCUGGUGGAACACCUGCAGGCCCCCGUGUGGCUUCUGUGUUGAAGGCCUGGGCCAGGACUCCUGCCGCUGAGCCGCUGAGCCGCUGGCUGGCUGGAUCAGUAGGCAGAGGCCGCGCCAACAGCAACACCUGCACAGCAAGCCAGCUGCCAAUCCGCUCCUUCAGCUACAAAGUUACCCCUGCCUGCCUAGACUGGGAACCGGCCCUUUUCCUGUGUGCUGUAGUUACUGUGUCGUUUAUAGGACGUUCUAUGGGGACAUUAGAAAAGUUUACUUUGGUGCAAAAAAGUUGAAAUCCAUGAAUAUGCAUUUUCCAUAAACUUUCUGAAGGUCUCUCUGUGCACCAAAGUGUCCUCUCAUUGUAUUUUCCACAAGCUCUCAAGUGCAUCACCAAUGGGGGCUGGGGCGCACGUUGUCUCGGGGAAGCAGACGGCAGGCGACCACAGCCACAGGCCAUCAGCAAUCAGCUCGGCUGCAAUUGCGAUCAUCUGGGACCCUAAAGAACCCCGGGGGCUGGGCAGUCCCGAU
This is a non-coding RNA of Oryctolagus cuniculus (rabbit), 5638 nucleotides long. The record is from RefSeq and is a predicted model, not a curated record. NCBI's taxonomy places the organism in Eukaryota, Metazoa, Chordata, Mammalia, Lagomorpha, Leporidae.